AGUUAAGGAACUCGGCAAAAUAGAGCCGUAACUUCGGGAGAAGGCUCGCCCCUUGACUUGUAGCCCCUUGCGGGCGAAGGGUUGGGGGGUCGCAGUGAAAUGGCCCAGGCGACUGUUUACCAAAAACACAGGUCUCUGCCAAAGCGAAAGCUGAAGUAUAGGGGCUGACGCCUGCCCAGUGCCCGAAGGUUAAGGGGAGAGGUUAGCGCAAGCGAAGCUUUGAACCGAAGCCCGGGUGAACGGCGGCCGUAACUAUAACGGUCCUAAGGUAGCGAAAUUCCUUGUCGGGUAAGUUCCGACCCGCACGAAAGGCGUAACGAUCUGGGCACUGUCUCAACGAGGGACUCGGCGAAAUUGAAAUCUGCGUGAAGAUGCGCAGUACCCGCAGCAGGACAAAAAGACCCCGUGGAGCUUUACUACAGCUUGCCAUUGCGUCUGGGCUGUGCUUGUGUAGGAUAGGUGGGAGGCUAUGAAUCCGGGCCGCCAGGUUCGGAGGAGCCGUCGUUGAAAUACCACCCUGGCACAGUCGAGGCCCUAACCGUCAGCCGUUAUCCGGCGACGAGACAGUGGCUGGUGGGUAGUUUGACUGGGGCGGUCGCCUCCUAAAAGGUAACGGAGGCGCCCAAAGGUCACCUCAGGCCGAAUGGAAACCGGCCGUUGAGUGUAAAGGCAUAAGGUGGCUUUACUGCGAGACGGACAUGUCGAGCAGUUGCGAAAGCAGGGCUUAGUGAUCCCACGGUACCGAGUGGAAGGGCCGUGGCUUAACGGAUAAAAGCUACCCCGGGGAUAACAGGCUAGUCUUGCCCAAGCGUCCACAGCGACGGCAAGGCUCGGCACCUCGAUGUCGGCUCGUCCCAUCCUGGGGCUGAAGCAGGUCCCAAGGGUUUGGCUGUUCGCCAAUUAAAGGGGCACGCGAGCUGGGUUCAGAACGUCGUGAGACAGUUCGGUCUCUAUCCGCUGCGGGCGAAGGUGAUUUGAGGGGAGUUGUCCUUAGUACGAGAGGACCGGGAUGAACUGACCUCUGGUGGGCCGGUUGUGGCGCCAGCCGCAUCGCCGGGUAGCCAAGUCGGGACGGGAUAACCGCUGAAAGCAUCUAAGUGGGAAGCCCCCCCCAAGAUAAGAUCACCCUCCGGGUAACCGGGUAAGCGCGGUGGUAGAUUACCACUUUGAUAGGGCAGGGGUGUAAGGGCCGUGAGGUCUUCAGCUGACUGCUACUAACGCGCGAGAGGCUUUACUC
This 1237-nucleotide ribosomal RNA is filed under the name wastewater metagenome. RNAcentral's name for it is "bacterial LSU rRNA". It matches the Rfam family "Bacterial large subunit ribosomal RNA", at positions 1703 to 2925 of the family's 2925-position model. The record is from RNAcentral.